This 347-nucleotide ribosomal RNA is filed under the name uncultured bacterium. RNAcentral describes it as "partial 16S ribosomal RNA". It matches the Rfam family "Bacterial small subunit ribosomal RNA", at positions 338 to 702 of the family's 1533-position model. The record is from RNAcentral.
CCUACGGGUGGCAGCAGUGAGGAAUAUUGGGCAAUGGUCGGGAGACGGAACAAGCAAAGCCGCGGGAGUGAAGAAGUAGUUCGGGACGGAAAGCUCUAUCAGCAGGGAAGAAAAUGACGGUACCUGACGAAGAAGCCCCGGCUAACUACGUGCCAGCAGCCGCGGUAAUACGUAGGGGGCAAGCGUUAUCCGGAUUUACUGGGUGUAAAGGGAGCGGAGACGGCAGCGCAAGUCUGGAGUGAAAUCCCAUGGCUUAACCAUGGAACUGCUUGGGAAACUGUGCAGCUGGAGUGCAGGAGAGGUACGCGGAAUUCCUCGUGUAGCGGUGUACUGCGUAGAUAUUAGGA